Non-coding RNA from Myodes glareolus (Bank vole), 1037 nucleotides. Lineage: Eukaryota; Metazoa; Chordata; Mammalia; Rodentia; Cricetidae. The record is from RefSeq and is a predicted model, not a curated record.
UUCUCCCGCCUCGCACUCACGCCUGCGCACAGACCGGGACAAGGGGGACGCAUGCGCACCAGUGGCGGCUCGGAGAGGUCGCCCUGCAGGGCAAAGUCUCAGCUCGUUUGCAGGUUACAGCCAUAUCUGGGGACCCACGUUUUCCACUCUGGCUACACAUCCUGCGAACAAUCGCCUCUCCAGAGCCUGAAUGGAAAGCGAGCGCCCCAUCUCUGCUGAAUGGCCGUCUCAGUUCAUCUGAGGCUGGAGGGCUUUUGAUGGCCACAAUACAAGUUACGCCCAAAGAGUGUCUCUUUGGUCAGAUCGGCAACGCUUGGUUUCACGUUUGCAAGUUAAACGGGCAAAAACCCAGCUGAAACUCCCACGCCAGACGCCAAGGACAUUUCUCUCCACCCUGCUCAGAGCAAAACUAGGGAAAGGGUCUGGGCAGGGGGAGGAAAGGGGGGUGCUGGCAGGGAGGAGGGGUGGAGGAGAAUGGGGUCCUGAUUCUCAGCAGCAGUCUAGAAGUAGGUGGGGAAAUGCAUUUUCUCUGGCAUUUCUUUCUUGUAUUUUUUUUAUAUUUUUCUUUGUUGACAGCUUUACCCAAACAAAAACUAAAACGAGAGCAUUUUCUCCUUGUCUUCACCUAGGUAGCUGUUUUCCUCCAGCCCCCGAAAAUGUGACUCCUUCAUAAAAUCAAAAUUUAUGAUUAUUCAAAUGUUGGGGACUGUGAAAAGAGAGGAAGAAAGAGAGAAAAUUAAUAUUGCAGCUGUUCUUCUGAUUAAUGAGAGAUAAUUGCUCAUGAGAAGUCACCCCUGUGGCAUUUUGUUGUCUCCUGGAUCUUUGUUCUUUUCCACUAUUAUUGAGGACUUUCUUGAAGACUAAGCGGUUCUUUUCAAUUUUUGGGUAUUCAGAAAGGGUUGCCUGGUUACAGAGAAUGGGGAAAUCUCGGGCUAUAUCGGGUAAGAUGUGCCACAGACAGCAAUAUCACAAUGCCACUUGGAGAAAAGGAUGGAUACAAGUUAACGAUGCGUUUUCAAUAAAACAUUCAUAGACUU